Molecule: small nuclear RNA, 24 nt
Filed under: Arabidopsis thaliana (thale cress)
Lineage: Eukaryota; Viridiplantae; Streptophyta; Magnoliopsida; Brassicales; Brassicaceae
Description: snRNA_08469
Source: RNAcentral
GCUCCCAAGCAGUGGGAGGAGCCC